UUCCACAAUGGGCGCAAGCCUGAUGGAGCAACACCGCGUGAGUGAAGAAGGGUUUCGGCUCGUAAAGCUCUGUUGUUAAAGAAGAACACGUAUGAGAGUAACUGUUCAUGCGUUGACGGUAUUUAACCAGAAAGUCACGGCUAACUACGUGCCAGCAGCCGCGGUAAUACGUAGGUGGCAAGCGUUAUCCGGAUUUAUUGGGCGUAAAGAGAGUGCAGGCGGUUUUCUAAGUCUGGUGUGAAAGCCUUCGGCUUAACCGGAGAAGUGCAUCGGAAACUGGAUAACUUGAGUGCAGAAGAGGGUAGUGGAACUCCAUGUGUAGCGGUGGAAUGCGUAGAUAUAUGGAAGAACACCAGUGGCGAAGGCGGCUACCUUGUCUGCAACUGACGCUGAGACUCGAAAGCAUGGGUAGCGAACAGGAUUAGAUACCCUGGUAGUCCAUGCCGUAAACGAUGAGUGCUAGGUGUUGGAGGGUUUCCGCCCUUCAGUGCCGGAGCUAACGCAUUAAGCACUCCGCCUGGGGAGUACGACCGCAAGGUUGAAACUCAAAGGAGUUGACGGGGGCCCGCACAAGCGGUGGAGCAUGUGGUUUAAUUCGAAGCUACGCGAAGAACCUUA
Molecule: ribosomal RNA, 618 nt
Filed under: Limosilactobacillus fermentum
Lineage: Bacteria; Bacillati; Bacillota; Bacilli; Lactobacillales; Lactobacillaceae
Description: bacterial SSU rRNA
Rfam family: Bacterial small subunit ribosomal RNA
Source: RNAcentral